UACGUAGGGGCCUAGCGUUGUCCGGAUUUAUUGGGCGUAAAGCGCGUGUAGGCGGCUAUGCAAGUCGGAUGUGAAAGCCCUCGGCUCAACCGAGGAAGUGCACCCGAAACUGCAAAGCUAGAAUCUCGGAGAGGAUCGUGGAAUUCUCGGUGUAGAGGUGAAAUUCGUAGAUAUCGAGAGGAACACCGAUGGCGAAGGCGGCGAUCUGGACGAUGACUGACGCUGAGACGCGAAAGCGUGAAGAGCAAACAAG
RNAcentral lists this ribosomal RNA (253 nucleotides) under uncultured bacterium. RNAcentral describes it as "partial 16S ribosomal RNA". It matches the Rfam family "Bacterial small subunit ribosomal RNA", at positions 524 to 776 of the family's 1533-position model. The record is from RNAcentral.